GUGAUCCAUUGCUAAACUGGCUUUGUUAAAACAAUUAAUUGGAAAGCUAUCAUGGUUAGCAGAUCUGAAUUCCUGAGUUCUUAGGUUAGCAACCCCAAACCGAAGUCGGCGUGAAUGGUCAUCACCUAGGAAAACAAACCGUCAGCUCAACCAAUCAGGAACUGCCAACUAGACUGUACCUAAGGUCUUUCCACGUUGACCAAUCAUGUGUUUUCUUUGUCUUGCUUCUGAGAACACCUUGUGAAAGCUGCCCGCCGGGUCUCCAUGGACCCCAAACCACCUGGGAUCUAGCACUGCCCAAUCUGUGAAUUGUUGUUGGGUGAAAACAACUCAUCAACGUCUGUAUGUGCUUUUAUUCUGUAGCAGUUCCC
This 371-nucleotide long non-coding RNA is filed under the name Marmota monax (woodchuck). Lineage: Eukaryota; Metazoa; Chordata; Mammalia; Rodentia; Sciuridae. The record is from RNAcentral.